Molecule: ribosomal RNA, 446 nt
Filed under: uncultured Actinomycetes bacterium
Lineage: Bacteria; Bacillati; Actinomycetota; Actinomycetes
Description: bacterial SSU rRNA
Rfam family: Bacterial small subunit ribosomal RNA
Source: RNAcentral
ACUCCUACGGGAGGCAGCAGUGGGGAAUAUUGCACAAUGGGCGGAAGCCUGAUGCAGCGACGCCGCGUGAGGGAUGACGGCCUUCGGGUUGUAAACCUCUUUCAGCAGGGACGAAGCGCAAGUGACGGUACCUGCAGAAGAAGCGCCGGCCAACUACGUGCCAGCAGCCGCGGUAAGACGUAGGGCGCGAGCGUUGUCCGGAUUUAUUGGGCGUAAAGAGCUCGUAGGCGGCUUGUCGCGUCGGCUGUGAAAUCCCGUGGCUCAACUGCGGGCUUGCAGCCGAUACGGGCAGGCUAGAGUUCGGUAGGGGAGACUGGAAUUCCUGGUGUAGCGGUGAAAUGCGCAGAUAUCAGGAGGAACACCGGUGGCGAAGGCGGGUCUCUGGGCCGAUACUGACGCUGAGGAGCGAAAGCGUGGGGAGCGAACAGGAUUAGAUACCCUGGUAG